AUGGAAGAUCUACUAGACCGGCUGAACCUGCAUGAACAAGAGGGAGAGGGCUUUGUGUGGGAAGAGGAGAUCAUUGAGCCGCUAGCAGUGAUCAAAUGGCUAGCGAUUGCUAGGGUUCACACAACCAGAGGUCUUAGUCCCACCGCCCUUUACUCAGUUAUGAGAUCGACAUGGAAUCCGGCAAGAGAGGUGAUCUGAAGGAAGGUUGAGGAUAACCUUUCCACUGUCCAAUUUGGCUGCCUUGCUGACUGGAACAAGGUGAUGACCAUGGGGCCCUGGCUUUUCAGGUACCAAGCUGUUAUUCUGGAGGAGUAUGAUGGGUUUGAGAACCCUAUAUCAGUGGUCUUGGACAAAAUAGCGGUAUGGGAUAGAGUUUUACGCAUUCUUGAUAACCUGCUGCAUGAUGUGGUGAUACGCGGGAUGUGUCGACCUAUGGGAGAGAUUCUUGCUGUUCAGAUAACGCUCCCAGCGGGCUAUGUGGGAGAAUUUGUCAGGGUAUGGGUCAAAAUCUAUGUGACAAAAAAGCUGUUUCGAUUUGUCUCAAUCACAAGAGGAACAAAGCAGGUGUGCUACCAAAUUCAGUAUGAGAAGUUGCCUACUUUUUGUGGGAACUACGACCUGCUAGGCCAUUGGCAUGAAGAGUGCGGUACUGGUGAAUGA
This 660-nucleotide ribosomal RNA is filed under the name Triticum aestivum (bread wheat). Its description in RNAcentral is "partial small subunit ribosomal RNA". The record is from RNAcentral. Lineage: Eukaryota; Viridiplantae; Streptophyta; Magnoliopsida; Poales; Poaceae.